This 201-nucleotide unclassified non-coding RNA is filed under the name Hevea brasiliensis (rubber tree). Lineage: Eukaryota; Viridiplantae; Streptophyta; Magnoliopsida; Malpighiales; Euphorbiaceae. The record is from RNAcentral.
UAUAAUUGGUUGCUAAAAUCGAUUAUUAAUAGCAACCAAGUUAUAAUUGAUUGCUAAAUCGGUUGCUACUCGAUAUUAGAAAAACUUUAAAUAUAUCAUUAGUAACCAAUUUUAAAAUAAGUUAUUAUUAGCAAUUGAUUAAGAAAUUGAUUACUAAAAUCUGUUGCUAAUAGCAAACGAUUUUAAAAUUGAUUGCUAAUA